CAAAUGACUCUCGGCAAUGGAUAUCUCGGCUCUUGCAUCGAUGAAGAACGUAGUGAAAUGCGAUACUUGGUGUGAAUUGCAGAAUCUCGUGAACCAUUGAGUCUUUGAACGCAAGUUGUGCCCAAGGCCUUGUGGCCGAGGGCACGCCUGCUUGGGCGUCAUGG
RNAcentral lists this ribosomal RNA (164 nucleotides) under Amomum queenslandicum. RNAcentral describes it as "5.8S ribosomal RNA". It matches the Rfam family "5.8S ribosomal RNA". Rfam says of the family: 5.8S ribosomal RNA (5.8S rRNA) is a component of the large subunit of the eukaryotic ribosome. It is transcribed by RNA polymerase I as part of the 45S precursor that also contains 18S and 28S rRNA. Lineage: Eukaryota; Viridiplantae; Streptophyta; Magnoliopsida; Zingiberales; Zingiberaceae. The record is from RNAcentral.